RNAcentral lists this ribosomal RNA (490 nucleotides) under uncultured bacterium. RNAcentral's name for it is "partial 16S ribosomal RNA". It matches the Rfam family "Bacterial small subunit ribosomal RNA", at positions 28 to 507 of the family's 1533-position model. The record is from RNAcentral.
GAUGAACGCUAGCUACAGGCUUAACACAUGCAAGUCGCGGGGCAGCAUGGGGGUUGCUUGCACUCCCCGAUGGCGACCGGCGCACGGGUGAGUAACGCGUAUCCAACCUGCCCUUCACCACGGGAUAACCCGGCGAAAGUCGGACUAAUACCGUAUGUUGUCCAUUGACGGCAUCCGAUUUGGACGAAAGGUUUGGCGGUGAAGGAGGGGGAUGCGUCCGAUUAGCUGGACGGCGGGGUGACGGCCCACCGUGGCGACGAUCGGUAGGGGUUCUGAGAGGAAGGUCCCCCACACUGGAACUGAGACACGGUCCAGACUCCUACGGGAGGCAGCAGUGAGGAAUAUUGGUCAAUGGGCGUAAGCCUGAACCAGCCAAGUAGCGUGCAGGAUGACGGCCCUAUGGGUUGUAAACUGCUUUUAUGCGGGGAUAAAGUGGCCCACGUGUGGGUUUUUGCAGGUACCGCAUGAAUAAGGACCGGCUAAUUCCGUG